Non-coding RNA from Acanthosepion pharaonis, 95 nucleotides. The record is from the annotation of a GenBank genome assembly. Lineage: Eukaryota; Metazoa; Mollusca; Cephalopoda; Sepiida; Sepiidae.
AAACAUCGGUAAUCGUACGAUCAGCGAAGUUAAGCAACGUCGAGCAUGGUCAGUACCUAGAUGGGUAACCGCCUGAGAAUACCGGGUGCUGUAAG